Molecule: ribosomal RNA, 253 nt
Filed under: uncultured bacterium
Lineage: Bacteria
Description: partial 16S ribosomal RNA
Rfam family: Bacterial small subunit ribosomal RNA
Source: RNAcentral
UACGAAGGGGGCUAGCGUUGUUCGGAAUUACUGGGCGUAAAGCGCGCGCAGGCGGCUAUCCAAGUCAGUGGUGAAAGCCCGGAGCUCAACUCCGGAACUGCCAUUGAAACUGUUUAGCUUGAGGACGAGAGAGGUGAGUGGAAUUCCCGGUGUAGCAGUGAAAUGCGUAGAUAUCGGGAGGAACAUCUGUGGCGAAGGCGACACCCUGGACCAGCACUGACACUGAGGCACGAAAGCGUGGGGAGCAAACAGG